GACGAACGCUGGCGGCGUGCUUAACACAUGCAAGUCGAACGGUAAGGCCCUUCGGGGUACACGAGUGGCGAACGGGUGAGUAACACGUGGGUGAUCUGCCCUGCACUUCGGGAUAAGUCUGGGAAACUGGGUCUAAUACCGGAUAGGACUCCUGGCUUCAUGGUUGGGGGUGGAAAGCUUUUGCGGUGUGGGAUGGGCCCGGGGCCUAUCAGCUUGUUGGUGGAGUAAUGGCCUACCAAGGCGACGACGGGUAGCCGGCCUGAGAGGGUGACCGGUCACACUGGGACUGAGAUACGGCCCAGACUCCUACGGGAGGCAGCAGUGGGGAAUAUUGCACAAUGGGCGCAAGCCUGAUGCAGCGACGCCGCGUGAGGGAUGACGGCCUUCGGGUUGUAAACCUCUUUCAGCUAUGACGAAGCGCAAGUGACGGUAGUAGCAGAAGAAGGACCGGCCAACUACGUGCCAGCAGCCGCUGUAA
RNAcentral lists this ribosomal RNA (478 nucleotides) under uncultured bacterium. Its description in RNAcentral is "partial 16S ribosomal RNA". It matches the Rfam family "Bacterial small subunit ribosomal RNA", at positions 28 to 523 of the family's 1533-position model. The record is from RNAcentral.